GAUGAAGAACGCAGCGAAAUGCGAUAACUAGUGUGAAUUGCAGAUUUCAGUGAAUCAUCGAAUCUUUGAACGCACAUUGCGCCCCCUGGUAUUCCGGGGGGCAUGCCUGUCCGAGCGUCAUUACAACCCUCAAGCUCAGCUUGGUGUUGGGCCCCGUCGCCCCGGCGGGCCCUAAAGUCAGUGGCGGUGCCGUCCGGCUCCGAGCGUAGUAAUUCUUCUCGCUCUGGAGGUCCGGUCGUGUGCUCGCCAGCAACCCCCAAUUUUUUUCAGGUUGACCUCGGAUCAGGUAGGGAUACCCGCUGAACUUAAGCAUAUCAAUAAGCGGAGGA
RNAcentral lists this unclassified non-coding RNA (329 nucleotides) under soil metagenome. RNAcentral's name for it is "partial contains 5.8S ribosomal RNA, internal transcribed spacer 2, and large subunit ribosomal RNA". The stretch from base 1 to 120 matches the Rfam family "5.8S ribosomal RNA", at positions 35 to 154 of the family's 154-position model. The record is from RNAcentral.